CGCAUGGUUUUACUAUUAAAGAAUUUCGGUUAUCGAUGGGGAUGCGUUCCAUUAGUUUGUUGGCGGGGUAACGGCCCACCAAGACUACGAUGGAUAGGGGUUCUGAGAGGAAGGUCCCCCACAUUGGAACUGAGACACGGUCCAAACUCCUACGGGAGGCAGCAGUGAGGAAUAUUGGUCAAUGGACGAGAGUCUGAACCAGCCAAGUAGCGUGAAGGAUGACUGCCCUAUGGGUUGUAAACUUCUUUUAUAUGGGAAUAAAGUAUUCCACGUGUGGAAUUUUGUAUGUACCAUAUGAAUAAGGAUCGGCUAACUCCGUGCCAGCAGCCGCGGUAAUACGGAGGAUCCGAGCGUUAUCCGGAUUUAUUGGGUUUAAAGGGAGCGUAGGUGGAUUGUUAAGUCAGUUGUGAAAGUUUGCGGCUCAACCGUAAAAUUGCAGUUGAAACUGGCAGUCUUGAGUACAGUAGAGGUGGGCGGAAUUCGUGGUGUAGCGGUGAAAUGCUUAGAUAUCACGAAGAACUCCGAUUGCGAAGGCAGCUCACUAGACUGCAACUGACACUGAUGCUCGAAAGUGUGGGUAUCAAACAGGAUUAGAUACCCUGGUAGUCCACACAGUAAACGAUGAAUACUCGCUGUUUGCGAUAUACAGUAAGCGGCCAAGCGAAAGCAAUAAGUAUUCCACCUGGGGAGUACGCCGGCAACGGUCCC
This 708-nucleotide ribosomal RNA is filed under the name uncultured bacterium. RNAcentral's name for it is "bacterial SSU rRNA". It matches the Rfam family "Bacterial small subunit ribosomal RNA", at positions 187 to 902 of the family's 1533-position model. The record is from RNAcentral.